Molecule: long non-coding RNA, 3089 nt
Organism: Melospiza georgiana
Lineage: Eukaryota; Metazoa; Chordata; Aves; Passeriformes; Passerellidae
Exons: 2
Source: RefSeq, a predicted model, not a curated record
UCGGGCACAGGAGCGGCCGCUCAGCUGCUGCGGGCUGGGGCACAGCGGAGACAGCCCGGGGCCGGGGGCGGCUGCUCGCGGAGAAUUUCAGAGACAGGACACACCAUGGAGCCGUGCUGCCUCCUGGGCAUCCCGGUCCGAACAGCUCCUUGGCAUCCCAACACCAAACUUCGCUGUUUAAUGUUCACCUCUUCAGGCUUUGAAGCCAUGCUGGGGAGCUCACUCCGAUACCAUCAGAGAAGUGCCCAAGCUUUGCAGCCUCAUUCAGGCCAAAAAAGAAGCUUGGUGUCAGGCAAACCAGACUGAGGAAGAAUAUACUAGAGGAAAAUACUGUAUUGAUCAGGUUAACCUUAACAAUGUCAGGAGGAGUUAUAAGUAGCUCAAGAUUGUUCUACAAAAUUCUACAGCCUCAUGGACCACCUCACAAAUUGGUGUGAAAUGGAGGAAGGCUGAAGGGUAAGCACAGGGAACACAUGAGUAUCACAGAAAUUGUUUGCAGGCUUCCAGUGAUUUGUUGCCUCUCAGUAAUCUCACCUUCCCCAGUCAGUAGGAAUAAAACUAUUAGAUUAAGCUACAAGUGGGUUAAUACCCCUAGAUGUAAACUACAGUCAAAUAAUAAAGCAAUUUUACCAUGUAAAUAAAAAUAAUUAGUGGUAAACAUAGUCCUAAUUUUUUGUAGGUAAUAAAAACUUGCAUAUCAUGCUGUAAUGAAAAGUCAUAAAUCUGUGUCUUGCAAACAGCAGCUGUAUGAGUGGAGUGAUUAUUAUCUUGCCUGCGCUGCUUAUUUGACAGGGCAAAAUAUACACACUUAAAAAACCAGUAAUUGAAUAUCAGUUUCAGCUUUUUAAACUGAUGCAGGGAAGAUUACCUAUCCUACACAGAUGCUAAUUUGAGAACUGGUUGUUUUUCAUUACAGAAGCAAUGCGUAUUUUGUUGGGUGGUUCAGUUGAUUUUUAUGUUUGAGUUUUUUUUACUAAAACCCCCACAAGAUUAUUAGUACCAGGUUCUGAGACAUUUUUAGUAUUAAGAGGAAGGCAUCUUCCAGAGGCAGGAAAUUCAAAAUGAGAGUGGAAAUUCUGCCCUAGAGCUUUUUUCCAUAGGAGGGAGGUUCGUGGAGUUAUUCUGGCAGCCUUUUGGUUUGAGAAUAGCUCUGCCUUGGGAAUGAAGAGGUUUUCACAGAGGUCUGGAAGUGCACAGGCUGAGCUGUGCCAGCACUAGAGGGCACAGCCUCAGCUCUGCUGCACGUGGGCAUUGCAGCCCGACCAAAAAACCCUCAGCUGGGCUGGUUUGGGCUGUUUUUAUUCAUUCUACCCUUUAUCUAGAGGUUUUCUUUAGACAUCUGUCCAUUUUUAUCUUUGCAAUGUCUAAAUAAAAGUUUCCUGUACUGGUAUAUAAUUAGUCCAAUUUUUCCCUCUGGAUUUGUGCUUAUCCCUAGAAAGAACUUCAGUGGUGUAAGGAGAAAGGGAAAUCCUGCCCUUGUCAGUGUGAGCACAGACAGCUUAAAGGAUGUUUUCACAGAAUGGCAUUUCCUUGCACAUGGCCAUAGUAAUGUUCAUAAAAUGUUGGCCACCUUGGCAGAAAAAGGGUUUUGGGGGCAGAAAACAAAAUCAAAAGGAACCUGAAGGAGAAGGUCCAAACCUUGGAAUUUUAAUAUGCAUAAAAAACAGAGUAAGAUGACACCAUGAAUUUUCUCUAGCAGGAAUUAUGGUCACAGUUUUGAGGAGUACCUGACCAUUUCUUUUCUCAUUUUUAUUCCUAAGGUUGACUGCAUAACCCACUCGUACAAACCCAGCAUUAUUGCACCAGGGCUAAAUGCUGCAGCCAAAAGCCAGCCCUACCCUGCCACGCUGAGAGUGGUGCUUUAUUUUGGUAGCUGAACUGGAAGCAUUGACUGGAGAAGGGCUGUUAUUGUGCUGCCUGCUUUUCUUGCCUGCUUUGCAAUUGACAAGGCAUCAUUUAUCACGCUUUGCAUUCCAAUUUUUCUUUGCACGUUUUCCAGCUCAUCAUAACAUAAUUAUGUUUCUGUUUCCUUCAGCCAGGGGCUGAUACUUUCUUUUACUAAGACAACAGCUGCACUGCACAACCUUGAUGAAUCCCCAUAAGGGUGAAAAGAGUCUGUGGUGCUUGUUUCUGCCUUGGCAACCCAAAUGUUCAGGCUCUUUUUUGUGACAAAUGCUGCUCUAAAAUGCACCCAACCCUGAUGCUUUCAUAGCAUUUCUCAAAAUUGGGUUUUAUAUUGUAAAUUAGACUUUAAAUAUUAAACAUUCUGCCUGGUUUGUAAUUUUAAAGGCUUCCUUUGUUACAUUUCUGUUUGUGGUGUUUAUAGGUUAUAGACUCUGGAUGGAAUUUAGAAGGCUGUAGUCACUGAUGUGAAAUUUGUAUUUUGAAUGAAAUUGACUUUAUGUGUGACAAUAAGUACAAUCUGAAGGUCUGUUUUAUGUCCCUAAAGAGCAUCUUAAGGCAGCCUUCACAGUACAGGUGAAUCAUUUCCUUGAUUACAGCCUCCGUUGCUCCAGUCUCAUUGUGGCAUAAAGGUAAUUACAGAAACCCCAUCUCUGAAGGGCAUUAACUGCUAAUGAUGGGAAAAGACUCACAGUAUUUUUAUUAUCAGUUGUUGAGAUAUUUUAUUUAACUCUAAUGCAGUACUCUGAACCUGAGAUUUUAAAGUACUUCAGAAAGAAAGAAUGAUUUCUGUAUUUUACAUAGGAGAAACCAGUGCAGAGAAAAUCAGGGCUCAAUACUGGAGGCAAGCUGAGGGCAGAAUCCAUUCUUAAUGCUACUGGUUUUGCUUACCCAAUUAUACCAUUACUAAUUCCAAUUUCAUCUCAAAAUCUAUCCAUCAGAGCACUCUGUACAGUGGAAGCAGCAAUGUUUUCAGCCACUGAAUAUUGCCCAGGUUUGUAAAUAUAUGGGAUAUUGUGGCCUGGACAAUACCACAGCCUGAACAAUUGCAUUAUUCAGGGCAACAUUUUCCCUACAGUUUUGCUUUCUAUCAUAUUGUUCUGGUGCUAUUACUCCUGCCACUAUCAUUUGAAGAUUGUUUGUAUUUAUACAUAAAAAUUACAAUAAAUCUGUAAGUGGAGACAAGA